AAAGUCUUAGCUUAAUUAAAGUGUCUGUUUUGCAUGCAGAAGAUGUGGGGUAAUGUCCCGCAGAUUUUA
This 69-nucleotide transfer RNA is filed under the name Bregmaceros nectabanus (smallscale codlet). RNAcentral's name for it is "tRNA-Ala". It matches the Rfam family "tRNA". Rfam says of the family: Transfer RNA (tRNA) molecules are approximately 80 nucleotides in length. Their secondary structure includes four short double-helical elements and three loops (D, anti-codon, and T loops). Further hydrogen bonds mediate the characteristic L-shaped molecular structure. tRNAs have two regions of fundamental functional importance: the anti-codon, which is responsible for specific mRNA codon recognition, and the 3' end, to which the tRNAs corresponding amino acid is attached (by aminoacyl-tRNA synthetases). tRNAs cope with the degeneracy of the genetic code in two manners: having more than one tRNA (with a specific anti-codon) for a particular amino acid; and 'wobble' base-pairing, i.e. permitting non-standard base-pairing at the 3rd anti-codon position. The record is from RNAcentral. Lineage: Eukaryota; Metazoa; Chordata; Actinopteri; Gadiformes; Bregmacerotidae.